Molecule: long non-coding RNA, 222 nt
Filed under: Elaeis guineensis (African oil palm)
Lineage: Eukaryota; Viridiplantae; Streptophyta; Magnoliopsida; Arecales; Arecaceae
Description: long non-coding RNA (EGUI_LNC027629)
Source: RNAcentral
AUGCAGUUCUUCAUAUGGUUUUUCAAACAUGCGCUCCUCGACCAUGGUUGAAAAUCGAAACAUAUUCUUCAUAUGAUUCUUCAUACGGUUCUCCAAAUACGUGUUCCUCUACCAUGGUCGAGGAUUAGAACAUGUUUUCCAUGCGGUUCUCCAAACACAUACCCCUCGACCACGAUCGAGGAUUGGAACGUAUUUUCUAUGCGGAUCUCCAUCGCGUGCCCC